RNAcentral lists this ribosomal RNA (127 nucleotides) under Brama japonica. Its description in RNAcentral is "12S rRNA". The record is from RNAcentral. Lineage: Eukaryota; Metazoa; Chordata; Actinopteri; Scombriformes; Bramidae.
CAAAGGCUUGGUCCUGACUUUACUUUCAACUUUAGCUAAACUUACACAUGCAAGUAUCCGCACCCCUGUGAGAAUGCCCCCGUUCUCUAUUGAAAACAAGGAGCAGGUAUCAGGCACACCCCCCCCC